CUGGUUGGAUGACCAGCUGGGAUUUGGUCCUUCAGGGAAAUGUUAUAUCGGGCCUCUUAAUAAAGUGAAGAGGAAAUGAUGGUCAACAACUUUUGGCUUAGAGCGGGUUUUUGGACCUUUUAAAUCUUCAUGUAUUUGAUGAUGAUCUUAUCCAAUGCAUCCGUGCCAUUCCUAUUACUCACGGUUCUAGCUCGGAGGACCUCAUUGCUUGGAAAUUCUCGCAAAAUGAUUGCACCAUUACAAAAGAGAACUUCGCUUGCUCAGAAAGACCAUGGAGACAGCCAAAAAACAGGUUUAGGCAUUGACCAGGGGGAAAAUGGCAGUGCAGAGGUCAGAGGCUAAAAGGAAGAGAUUGCCACCCUGAGGACAAAAGCGAAGAACCUGGAAAAUGAAUACGAGACAAAGGAUAAGGAAGCCAAGACAGCUGAAGCUGAAACCAAUGCUCUAAAGAAACAAUCUGAAGGCUUACUAGAGUAUGAUCAUCUGCUUGCAGACAACCAAAGCCUUCGAAGUCAGUUGGAGUCUAUUGAUCACUCCUUGUCCAAUUCUGACGGCAAGAAGAACACCUAACGAAGAGUUUUGCUGAGCGGGCGAGUUCUUGAUCUUGUUUCAUGAGUGCUUUCUGAUAUAGAUAUUGUUUUUAGCGUGGAAGACCGGAUGGCUGUCGUGUUGAAUGUACAAAGAAAAGAGCAAAACCUUGCAAUGAGUUCUGGAAACUUGUUUUAGGACGGAAAUCAGGUUUGUACUAGGUACUUGUCGAUCAUUCCUUAUAUAUUUAAUCAGUAUAGCCAGGCAGCAAAUGGGAAUCUCAGUUUCGCUUGAUCCAUAAUACUGAGUCUAUCCAAGUUUCCCGCUAAUAGUUGACUUACAUACUACUUUCAAUUUGA
Long non-coding RNA from Syzygium oleosum, 887 nucleotides. RefSeq lists it as uncharacterized. The transcript has 2 exons. The record is from RefSeq and is a predicted model, not a curated record. Lineage: Eukaryota; Viridiplantae; Streptophyta; Magnoliopsida; Myrtales; Myrtaceae.